RNAcentral lists this ribosomal RNA (401 nucleotides) under uncultured bacterium. Its description in RNAcentral is "bacterial SSU rRNA". It matches the Rfam family "Bacterial small subunit ribosomal RNA", at positions 30 to 430 of the family's 1533-position model. The record is from RNAcentral.
AUUGAACGCUGGCGGCGUGCCUAACACAUGCAAGUCGAGCGGUAACAGGUGUAGCAAUACAUGCUGACGAGCGGCGAACGGGUGAGUAAUGCUUCGGAAUCUGCCCAUGUAGUGGGGAAUAACCAGCCGAAAGGUUGGCUAAUACCGCAUACGACCUACGGGUGAAAGCAGGGGAUCGCAAGACCUUGCGCUAUUGGAUGAGCCGAAGUCGGAUUAGCAGUUGGUAGGGUAACGGCCUACCAAGGCGACGAUCCGUAGCUGGUCUGAGAGGACGACCAGCCACACUGGGACUGAGACACGGCCCAGACUCCUACGGGAGGCAGCAGUGGGGAAUAUUGGACAAUGGGGCAACCCUGAUCCAGCGACGCCGCGUGUGUGAAGAAGGCCUGCGGGUUGUAAAG